Molecule: ribosomal RNA, 354 nt
Filed under: uncultured fungus
Lineage: Eukaryota; Fungi
Description: eukaryotic LSU rRNA
Rfam family: Eukaryotic large subunit ribosomal RNA
Source: RNAcentral
AUAUCAAUAAGCGGAGGAAAAGAAACCAACAGGGAUUGCCUUAGUAACGGCGAGUGAAGCGGCAAAAGCUCAAAUUUGAAAUCUGGCACCAGCCCGAGUUGUAAUUUGCAGAGGAUGCUUCGGCUCCGCCCCGGCCCAAGUUCCCUGGAACGGGACGUCGCAGAGGGUGAGAAUCCCGUUGCGGCCGGUGGCUUCCGCCAUGUGAAGCUCCUUCGACGAGUCGAGUUGUUUGGGAAUGCAGCUCUAAACGGGAGGUAAAUUUCUUCCAAAGCUAAAUACCGGCCAGAGACCGAUAGCGCACAAGUAGAGUGAUCGAAAGAUGAAAAGCACUUUGGAAAGAGAGUUAAACAGUAC